Molecule: non-coding RNA, 1009 nt
Organism: Paramuricea clavata
Lineage: Eukaryota; Metazoa; Cnidaria; Anthozoa; Malacalcyonacea; Plexauridae
Source: the annotation of a GenBank genome assembly
GACUACUUCACUCUGCUUUGUUUUUAAACCAGAUGGAAAGCCUUGUACAUAGGCCUUUUAGGCUUAUGGCUUAAUGUGUUAAUUAGCCUUUAUGUGGCGACCCCUUCCUCUAAAGGAGAGGGUUCACUGCAUGUAUGCAAAAUAAUGCCAUAUAGUUUUUAGGGUAUCAACUCUUUAUGUCUAACUCUCAACUCUUUUUUGAAUUUUUUUCUGCUGUCGGAUUUCCAUCAGCUGGUCAUCAUCUGGAAUGGUAACCUCAACCCUGGAAAUGGCUAUUAAUUAAUUAAAACAGAUGCUAUCUAGUGGCUGCAUCACAAACUGGAUUGCUGCAAGAUUUUUGGCAACAACUACAAUUAAAUUGCUAAUCUUCCAAAACCUUGGCAUGUCAUCAUCAUCAUAACCACUAUGUUGAUGGCAUUGCAUCUGUAUUUAUGUACCGGUACAUAAUUUUUAUUCUGUCUAAAAGUUGAAAGCCAGGGGCCGGUUGUAUCAAGGAUAUUUAGCUCAACUAUCAAACAAAUCCAUGAACUAUAGACUACAAUCAAACUAAUAUUUUCUGUCCAAACAUAACAACCAUGCAUUGAACUACACAUUUCGUUGAUAAAAUUGAAGUUCAAUUUUUUACAAAAUGAAUAGGAAUGUUUUGAAAUUUGUGCUUAUCCACCGUUUAAGCUAAACGCCUUUGAAACAACCGGCUCCUGGUUAUCCUAACCCAUUGAGUGGCGAUGCACCCUGAUGCACCCUACUUUAGUAUUUUACUCUGCCUAACGCCAGACAAUUUUACUCGUCAAGGGGAGAGCGCUGGCGCUUAAUGGCUUAACCCGCCUAUCUGCCCAUAUGUCUAGUUAACCUAUUCAGUGGCGAUGCUCCCUGAUGCACCCUACUUUAGCAUUUUACUCUGUCUAACGCCAGACGAUUUUACUCGUCAAGGGGAGAGCGCUGGCGCUUAAUGGCCGGGUUAACUAGCUAGCCUAUCUGCCCAUGUGUCUAGUUAACCCAUUGAGUGGCG